This is a long non-coding RNA of Hemicordylus capensis (graceful crag lizard), 779 nucleotides long. RefSeq lists it as uncharacterized. The record is from RefSeq and is a predicted model, not a curated record. The transcript is spliced from 2 exons. Lineage: Eukaryota; Metazoa; Chordata; Lepidosauria; Squamata; Cordylidae.
GCUCUCUUGAGUUCCUUCAGUCUCUUCCCUAUCGCUCUGUACUCACAAGUCCAUGUAAUGGGUUCACAGUUUUGAAUCUGUAAAGGUGGCAGGACACGAAGAAGCUGCUAUCCUUACAACAGGGAUAAGUUCUGUCAAGGUAGACGGCCAGUACUCUACGGACAUCCAACAUGUGGAGUGAUCUCUCUAAAUUGGACUGUGGGUCAUGGAAGAACGCCAACAGGAUUACUUCUAGAUUGAUGUGGAAACUGGUGUUUAUUUUAUGAACAAAGGACAAGUCCAUAUGCAUGACUGCUUUGUCUUUGUGAAAUCUGACAUAAGGAGAGUCAGACCUAAGAGCACACAGUUCCCCUACCCUUCUGGCCAAGGUGAUGGCUAUGAGAAAAGCCAUUUUAAUAGACAGAAACUGAAGAGAAACAGAAGCCAUAGGUUGGAACGGACUGUUCAUGAGGCCUGUUAGGACCAGAGAAAUAGACCACUACGGUGCCGGGGCCCACACAUGUGAAUAUGUGUUUUCCAGGCCCUUGAGAAUUUUUUUGGAAAUGGGGUGAGGAAAAACAGUAGAGGCAUCCAUGUAACUGGAGAUGGUGACAAGAUGGAUCUUAACAGAUGUAUUAGAGAGACAGCCAAUUUCAGGCUAGACAGAUAUUUCAGUACUUACAAUAUGGUAGCUCUUGUAUGCAAGACGGAGUGCACUUCGCAUAAAGUGUGAAGUGCUUCCUCUUUGGUUUUUCUUGUAGAGGGUUUCUUUUCAUUAAAGAGGAUCUUCUCUAACAGUC